Molecule: ribosomal RNA, 91 nt
Filed under: Mycolicibacterium novocastrense
Lineage: Bacteria; Bacillati; Actinomycetota; Actinomycetes; Mycobacteriales; Mycobacteriaceae
Source: RNAcentral
ACGCCCGGACCCAUCCCGAACCCGGAAGCUAAGCCUGCCAGCGCCAAUGAUACUGCCCAACCCGGGCGGAAAAGUAGGACACCGCCGAACA